Molecule: ribosomal RNA, 372 nt
Filed under: uncultured organism
Description: partial 16S ribosomal RNA
Rfam family: Bacterial small subunit ribosomal RNA
Source: RNAcentral
GUAGGUGACAAGCGUUGUCCGGAAUUAUUGGGCGUAAAGCGCGCGCAGGCGGUUCUUUAAGUCUGAUGUGAAAGCCCACGGCUCAACCGUGGAGGGUCAUUGGAAACUGGAGAACUUGAGUACAGAAGAGGAAAGCGGAAUUCCACGUGUAGCGGUGAAAUGCGUAGAGAUGUGGAGGAACACCAGUGGCGAAGGCGGCUUUCUGGUCUGUAACUGACGCUGAGGCGCGAAAGCGUGUGGAGCAAACAGGAUUAGAUACCCUGGUAGUCCGCGCCGUAAACGAUGAGUGCUAAGUGUUAGGGGGUUUCCGCCCCCCUUAGUGCUGCAGCUAACGCAUUAAGCACUCCGCCUGGGAGUACGGCCGCAAGGCUG